GCGUGGACGAAUUCUGUGUUAGCCUCUCCGUGGUCAAUGCAGCCAGACACCAUGCUAGAGAACCUUUCACACCUGACCGCUACAAGGAUGGGAGUACUGAUCCGUAUUUGUAUCCUAGUGUCAACGUGAAUACAAAU
Gadus morhua (Atlantic cod) is the source of this 137-nucleotide small nucleolar RNA. Ensembl annotates it as small nucleolar RNA SNORA15. Lineage: Eukaryota; Metazoa; Chordata; Actinopteri; Gadiformes; Gadidae. The record is from Ensembl.